RNAcentral lists this ribosomal RNA (505 nucleotides) under uncultured bacterium. Its description in RNAcentral is "partial 16S ribosomal RNA". It matches the Rfam family "Bacterial small subunit ribosomal RNA", at positions 28 to 507 of the family's 1533-position model. The record is from RNAcentral.
GACGAACGCUGGCGGCGUGCCUAAUACAUGCAAGUAGAACGCACAGUUUAUACCGUAGCUUGCUACACCAUAGACUGUGAGUUGCGAACGGGUGAGUAACGCGUAGGUAACCUGCCUGGUAGCGGGGGGUAACUAUUGGAAACGAUAGCUAAUACCGCAUAAUAUUGAUUAUUGCAUGAUAAUUGAUUGAAAGAUGCUAUUGCAUCACUACCAGAUGGACCUGCGUUGUAUUAGCUAGUAGGUGAGGUAACGGCUCACCUAGGCGACGAUACAUAGCCGACCUGAGAGGGUGAUCGGCCACACUGGGACUGUGACACGGCCCAGACUCCUACGGGAGGCAGCAGUAGGGAAUCUUCGGCAAUGGACGAAAGUCUGACCGAGCAACGCCGCGUGAGUGAAGAAGGUUUUCGGAUCGUAAAGCUCUGUUGUAAGAGAAGAACGGGUGUGAGAGUGGAAAGUUCACACUGUGACGGUAACUUACCAGAAAGGGACGGCUAACUACGUG